GUGGUCUCCUCCGACGAAGGGCGGAACUGUGGGUAUGUCUGGAAAACUGCCUGAUGGAGCCGGAUAACUACUGGAAACGCUAGCUAAUACCGCAUACGGUCGCAGAACCAGCGAGGGCGACCUUCCUUCCUCUUGUCGGCGGAUGUGCCCCGAUUUAAUUACCUGACCGGUGGGAUAACGGCUCACCUAAGCAACGAUCCCUACCUGGUCUGAAAGGAUGACCAGCCACCCUGGAACUGACACAGGGUCCACACUCCUACGGGAGGCACCAGUGGGGAAUAUUGCGCAAUGGGCGCAAGCCUGAUGCAUCCAUGCCGCGUGUAUGAAGACUGCCUUCCGGUUGUAAAGUACUUUCUCCGAGGAGGAAGGUCUUUUGGUUAAUAACCACAGUGAUUGACGUUACUCUCAAAAGAAUCACCGGCUAACUCCGUGCCAGCACGCCGCGGUAAUACGGAGGGUGCAAGCGUUAAUCAUUAAUUACUGGGCGUAAAGCGCACUCAUGGGGUCUGUCAAGUCCGAUGUGAAAUCCCCGGGCUCGACCUGAAAACUGCAUUCUAAACUGGCGAGCUACAGUCUUGUAUGAGGAGAGUAGAAUUCCGAGUAUAACAGUGAAAUGCCUAGAGAUCUGGAGAAAUACCUGUAGAUAAGGCGG
RNAcentral lists this ribosomal RNA (652 nucleotides) under Lelliottia amnigena. Its description in RNAcentral is "bacterial SSU rRNA". It matches the Rfam family "Bacterial small subunit ribosomal RNA", at positions 78 to 724 of the family's 1533-position model. Lineage: Bacteria; Pseudomonadati; Pseudomonadota; Gammaproteobacteria; Enterobacterales; Enterobacteriaceae. The record is from RNAcentral.